RNA transcript from Ananas comosus (pineapple), 945 nucleotides. It is a transcript of the gene named SWR1 complex subunit 6, with no coding region annotated. Lineage: Eukaryota; Viridiplantae; Streptophyta; Magnoliopsida; Poales; Bromeliaceae. The transcript is spliced from 6 exons. The record is from RefSeq and is a predicted model, not a curated record.
CUCACGCUCACACUCCGCUCUGAUAAGCUCUACCCCGCUCCCGCCCCUUCUCCUUCCAAAGCGAUCGACCUAGGGUUUCGAAAAAUCCCCCGAUCGAGCUCCUUUCGCCCCGUAUCCCUCGACCAAACCCUAGAUUGCGACAGCUUUCCAUCGGAUUCUUCGCCGCCAUGGACGAGGAGAACACGGGGCCGUUUCGCCGGACCUCGACCCGGACGAGGAAGAUGGCGACGAAGAUGGCCGUGGCACUCGCCAGCACCGAUAAUCGCACCCAGGCAGCGCUAGCUCGGCUUGAGGCGUUGGAGAAUGACAAUGCUGGAGCAGAUAAUGUAGAGACCAACGAUGACGACUAUGAUUCUCUUGAUGAUGAAGACCAAGUGUACAUCCAAAAAAAGCAGUCAAAAAACAUGAAACGCAAGACCCGGCAGGCAAAAGCACUGGAGAAUGCAAAGAAGGCACCCAGAACAUUCAUGGAAGUGUUACAAGAGGCGAAUCUAGAGUCCCUGCCUCCCCAUGUCCCAACCUAUUUGAGGGCGGCUGUUGGUCCACCGAGCACGCGGUCUCGCCGCCAUUUCUGCACAGUAUGUGGUGAUGCCGCCAACUACACGUGUGUGAGGUGUGGAAUGCGGUUUUGUUCUUGCAAAUGCCAGUGUGAGUCAAGCUUAAGUGGAUCUACAUCAGUUCCAACUGGAGAUCUUUCUAGGUAGCUCAUUAUUCUCAGGCUGUUCUUUUCAAAGUUUUAUGUGCUUAUUACUUGGUAUUGUUUCAGAAGAAAAUGUCUACCUGUUGAUCCUGCUGAAUCAUCUGUAGCACACGGGAAGGUCAGCCGGAGGCGGCUCCAGAGACUGCAACUCUCCAAGUCCAUUCUCCACCAGGAAGGCCAUGGCUAAACCCCAGGUGAUAUGCACUUCCAAAUGGCAGUGCACGAGCCAGACCCCGGGGUUGUUU